Molecule: long non-coding RNA, 611 nt
Organism: Mugil cephalus (flathead mullet)
Lineage: Eukaryota; Metazoa; Chordata; Actinopteri; Mugiliformes; Mugilidae
Exons: 2
Source: RefSeq, a predicted model, not a curated record
CUCUUCCCAAGGUUAUACACAGGCUGAAGGCCUUAUUAACCCCUUUAAAACCCAACAAGUGUAUUGUGCUUUUAUUGUGAAAACCCAUGUGGACGUCUUCCUACAGUGUAAUUGCCUGCACCUGUGGAGCAUAAAAUGGGUGGGUUUUAAAUAAGCAGGAGAGGAAACAGGAGCAGGUCGAAUUGGAGAGGAAAUGGGAGCAGAUCACGGAGAGGAAACAGCAGGGACUGAUCAUAGUAACCACACCGGAGCUGCCAGUGACGACGGAAGUUAGAGAAACCUAGAAGGACACAUGAAGAAGCGAGCAGAGUGAGAAUGCUUUCAUGUCUCGAGGUCAGCUACCUGAGGAGAUGACGGUGGUGCAGCGGCGUCGAGAAGCCACAGGACCGAGCACGGAUUCAACCUACACUUUUUACGACGGAGCCACGUCUGCCAGCACCCGAGAGUGUACUCCUCUGCCUCCACAGAUAAGACUGUUUUACUGGACUCCCUCGCCCCUCAGUUUUGUAGCCACCCUCCUUUUACCAGGCCGCGGCUGUACCAUUUUUAGUGUUUUACCCGUGUUUUUACCUGAUUUUAUUCUGUGAAUAAAAUAUCAAUAUUUCUGCUCA